This is a long non-coding RNA of Triplophysa rosa, 2479 nucleotides long. RefSeq lists it as uncharacterized. NCBI's taxonomy places the organism in Eukaryota, Metazoa, Chordata, Actinopteri, Cypriniformes, Nemacheilidae. The record is from RefSeq and is a predicted model, not a curated record. The transcript has 2 exons.
UUUCUUUUACUUUAUUUUGUUAGAACGUAAACAUUUGGAGGCGUUUUGGAUUGUGAUUAUAACGUGAAAUAUAUGAAUGCUUGUCAUGUAAUUUUAAGGUUGUAUAAUGUAAUAAGUUCUGCUCAUUUUGUUUUGCCUUACUGGUUGUGUUUUGAAAUAGUUUGAAAAAACAUAUGAAAAAAUAUCAUUUAAAACCCAGAGGAGAGGAUGAACAGAGUAAACAGAAACAGAUGAUGUAGAUUCAUAGUGCGAUAGAUCAGGGUGAGCUUUUAAACUCCUCCUAAAAACAUCGCAUAGGGCAUGUUUAAAACGUUAUUGCGCUCCCUACCUAGAUAUCACAUCUGGGUGGCGCACGCGCGAGCCUUGAGAUCCAAAAAUGCUGUCUAGACAGCGAAUCACUAGGUUUUGAACACAACCACAGUGUCCGGAAAUUAACAAACUCGUGAUGUCAGGAGGACUGGGAGAGGGUCAGCACAAGUGAAAUCCACGUCUAUUUUACAGACAUGUCUGUUUUGGGAAUCGUCAGAUGGAGGCAUGUUAUCACCCUGAUUGUUAUUUUACCCACCCCUGGGCACCAUGAUGUCUUUUGCUGAGUUGACACUACAGUUUGUUGUCAUAUGUUGUAAUUAUUGAAAUCACACAUGGAAGAUGUAUCACACCUAUAAUUUGUAUUAGUUAUUAAUAAGGUACGCAGGAAAUGUACAGUAUUAUAUAAUAUAACAUGCAUGCUGAUGCAUUGGGCUGCUUAGACGUGAUUGACAUGUUAAAUGCUUGAGGAUUGCUCUUUAUCCUUUGCUUUUGUGCUAUUAAAGGGCAUUUAACUUUGUAAAACGCAAUUAAGUGUUACUCUGUACUUCUGCUCUUCAGAUACUCAGAUCUGUUUCUGGCUCAUUUAAAUGAGAAUGAAUUGUUAAAAAAAGUAAGGUAAAGUGAAACAUUUCUGUUAUCACUUCCCUGAUAUUGAUGGUUACAAGUAAACACAUUUUUUAUGGUUGUGUGGUCAGAGAGGGGAUUUCGGACGUUCAUAACAUCUGAAAUGUGAAGUCACUAGACCUUUGGAGCCCCACCCACUGCAUUCCUACAGGGCUAAGCUGCAGCAACAUUCACAGCGCUGCUUUAAAUUGAAUUGAACUAAAUUCUAUUAUGCAGUGAAUUACAGUGACCAGCUUUAAACUCAACACACUGGAAUGACUCAUGUUGGCUUGAAUUGGCUCGACACAACUAAUUGUAUUUGAGAACCACAAAACCUUAAAGUUACACACAUUUUCUUUAUUGUACAAACCGUAAGAUUAUCCCAAACCAUGUUGUGGAUGAAUUGUCAAAGGAGUUCUUUGUAGACUUCACGCUCGAAAGUAACUAAAACACUGAAAAUAGGCAUACUAUAUCACAGUGUGUGUUUGUUUUAAGGUUAUUAAAAAAAAAAUACAUUUGACAUACACAAGCCUGAGUUGUGUUCCUUUUAACCAGUCUGCUAAGAAAGAGUUGUAAUUGUAAACCUUUUUUCAUGGUGAGAAUUCAAUAUAAUUUCGGUAUUGGUUAGAUUAUUUCAGGAGUAAUUGCAUGGGUAUCCUCUUUACUAAUUGUAUGAGUAUGCAGCACACAUCUGUCACAAUACUCCAGAUGUAAUCCAAAUGUAAGGCCUUAAAGUGAUAGUUCACCCAAAAAUGAAAAUUCUGUCUGAAUCCAUUACAUUUUCCUCAAAGUAUGUCAAAGACUACUGAAUAAAGUCUCUGUUGUCUGUAUUAAGUAAGCAGCACAGAUAUGUAUGGAAUGUUUGUUCCACUACUAAUACCUCCACUAGUGCAGUUCAUUCUGACUGACAUGUGGCCGUAAUGGCAGUUGCGCCAUGAGGCCACAGUCACAGGACAGAGGGUGUGCUGGGGAGAGGUUUCUAAAGGAUAAUGGACAAGAGCAAGCAAUGAUUUACACCAAACAAAGAGGUUCAGAGAUUCAUGAAAUGUAUAGAUAUAAAUAAUAGAAAUGUUUCACAGGAAGCAGCAGUCAAAUGCAAUCCUUCGCAGUCAAUCUCCACAGUUAAUUGUCUAUUUAUUAAAUUCUUCAUAAGAACAAGCAUCUCAUUGAAAUGUAUGUUUUGUAUUAAAAGCAAAUAAGCAAAACAUUUAAACGUUUAAAUAUAAUUAAUCUAUAGUAUCAACAUGUAACAGUAUCUCCAUACUGUCUAUUUAUCGUAAAGAAAAUAAUAUUUAUAUAAUAAUAUAUGUUUUACAUAAAGUGCUUUCUAAAGCUUAAACCUCACGAUUGUUACAUAAAAACGUGUUUGAACACAUAAUUGCUGUAUAAAACAAAAAGAUUUGACAUUACGUACUGAAAGUUUGACACAUAUUUAUGUUUGAGUGCACUGCGCUAAUAAUACAGUAGAAUAAAAAGUCAUCAAAUAAAAGGAAUAAAAGUUGCACAAAAGUCCAUCAUUUGUACAAUCAUUGUCAGAUCAGAAACAAUACUCAAAACAACCUAAAGA